RNAcentral lists this small RNA (822 nucleotides) under Cryptococcus neoformans H99. RNAcentral's name for it is "Cryptococcus neoformans var. grubii H99 hypothetical RNA". The record is from RNAcentral. Lineage: Eukaryota; Fungi; Basidiomycota; Tremellomycetes; Tremellales; Cryptococcaceae.
GAUUGAUACUGGAAGUUGGGGCAUAGCCGAGGUCGAUGGCCCAUUUGCACGGAUCGCCAUGUCGCCGAUGAAGCCCAUUUUCUGUCGGCGCCCUUCUUACCCCCAUAAAAUCGCCCAGGCCCUGAAAUACCGAUGUAGAUGAGAAUUGAAACUGCGGUGGAUUAUGGAAUCCUUCGAUAUUGGGGCCUGCUCCAUUCGGGGGGAAUGAGGUUGACGAUAGAUCUCCAGUAUGAUUGGGCCUCCCAAAACUUGGCAUGUUUUCCUUCCAUGGUACACCCCUCCGAGAAGCCAAACCAUGUGAGCCUCCAACAAAAGGCAAGUUGUUCGAAAUUGACCCUACAAAUGCUGUUGGCUCGCCUUCAUCAACAGUUGGGUUAAGCUCUAGUUUGGGAUCGGACUGAAUGCUGAUGAUUGUCUGACCGCGAGUAACCUUGCCUUCAGACUGGAUUGUCUUCUUGUCAAGACCCGGUGAAUGCUGUUGUGUUUUAUAUGAAGGCCCCUCUGUAAUCUCGGUAUGCCAGCUAGGAGAAUUGGCAUGAUGGACGUGAUAGACGAUACACGUGUAGGAGAACGUUGAGGACAUUGAAAGCGAGACGGAUCCAACUGCGGGGAAGCAAUCAAUUGCUGCUGUGGUCGUUUUCCCUUGUACUGUGAUCGCAGCAUUGGGUUUGGUUGAGGUGCUCGGAUUUUCCAUUGACUCCAAAUUUCUUUGUCCUUAUCCAUCAUCGGGUCCAGUGAUGCACUGUGGGAUCCGAGGAAUUGGUCUUGUGAAAAAGGUUGGGCUGCAAGACACAGUGUCAGGUAUUUUCUGAAUGCAAGUCG